CACUCCUUGGCAAACGCAAUUGCAACACUUUUCUAUUUGACAGGUCAAUAGAGUACACCCCCUCCCUGUCUUCAAUGAUUUACAAAGGUUUCGCAACGACAAUAGCACAGCACUGCCUGCCACUUAAUAUCCACAAACGGGUUUUCUUCCACAGCUCAAAAGAAGACAAUGCGAUCCAGAACAAAUACACUAUCACAGGACAGCUAGAAUAGAAUAAUCUGCAUCCCCUGAAAGGUGUACAUUUCCUACACGGUUUUCUAGACAUCACUGAGCUUACAAUGCCUCCACAAUGUUGAUCCAACUGUAAUGCAGCGACAGGCUGAUUACUCAAAGAGGAGAAGAAUGCUUCUUGGAGAGACAGUAACUUGCAUCUGAUGAGCAAGAUAUGAAAACCAUAAACCCCGCCCCCAGACCUGCUCAGCUCCGAGACAGAUUCGGGUGUCUUGCGAGGCCAGAGAUUCACGGUUUGGUUCUCGCUCGGCCAGUGGAGAGCCACCCGUACCGCGAGGGCCCCAGGGCUUCACGGCUCGGCUGUGCUGGUGGAAAGGAAUAUUAGAGUACCCCAGUUUCAGUGGACAACAGGACAGCACAGAGUGUGUUCAGUGGAGUUCUAACUGGGAAGAGACUCUAGUAGGUCAGCAAGAACAGCCGGGGGGACACUUAAAGGUGCGGACCAACAUGGAGAGGGAUGAUCUACAGUGUUGCACCUUUACAGAUGUCAAACGACUACACUAAAACCGGAAGUCAUUCUCCCCCUCCUCCAAGAGUCUCGCCAGCGGCCCAAAACAGAACGCUCCGCCAACCAAUGGGAUCUGCCAGGGGGCGGGGCAGCAGCGGGGGAAGCCAGUCGUAUGGACGAGAAGGCUGGACUUCCUGUUGAUAAUUGACAGGGGAGGGUUCCAAUGGUUAUCCUGGAGCUGUCAGGCAACGCAGCCAGUGAGGGAGCGACGGAGGUUGGGACUGUGUUGCCAUGGUGCUUAAAGAUGCGACACGGGCGCCUUUUCAAAAU
Long non-coding RNA from Acipenser ruthenus (sterlet), 1009 nucleotides. RefSeq lists it as uncharacterized. Lineage: Eukaryota; Metazoa; Chordata; Actinopteri; Acipenseriformes; Acipenseridae. The transcript has 3 exons. The record is from RefSeq and is a predicted model, not a curated record.